GAAGGUCUGUAGCUCAGUGGUAGAGCAUCUGUUUUGCACGUACGGUAGAAGUUCCUGCGUUCAGUCCCCAGCAUCUUCA
This is a non-coding RNA of Podarcis lilfordi (Lilford's wall lizard), 79 nucleotides long. NCBI's taxonomy places the organism in Eukaryota, Metazoa, Chordata, Lepidosauria, Squamata, Lacertidae. The record is from the annotation of a GenBank genome assembly.